UUGCAAACACAAUUGCUCUGGUUAGCCCUGCAUGGACUUGGUUUACUGAAAAACACAGAAGUUGAAGAGGCUGUGCAUAGCAAUGUGAUAAUCUGCUACGGACGUGUUGAAGGCACCAGUGAAGGUCAUUGUUGUUACUGCUUUGGAGUUGCUAUCAGAAUCGAGAUGCAUUUCUCUUUUUGCAUUCCAGGGUGUGCCUGGGUUAUGCUUGCUUUUCAGUAAUGCCUUGUGUUGUAUGCACACAUUCUCAAGUGCAUGAUUGAAGGCUCAGACAUCAAUAAAUGGGGUGGAAGAUGAACAACAAGCCCAAGUUUACAGAGUGGAGUUGGGGAGCAGAACAGUGAGGCCGGAGAAGAUCAUAAAGCUCGGCACAGCAAUGAGACCGCGAGGGCAACUGACAAACUGAACAAAUUGGAUCGAGUCCCCAGGUUUCACUGCUGUGAAACAUUCAGAGCAGCGUCUCGGGAGAAGAUUUGAUGCCCCAAUUAUUGUACAACAGACAUUGACCAUAACCACAUUAGUCUUGGCUGGAUUUGAACCCUGGUGCCAGAAGGGAAAAAAGGCCAAUGGGCAAAAAUUGCAGGGAUGAAAUAAGAUCAGGAUUUGUGAUGUACCAAUGGAAGACCAUUCGAAAAUGCUGAUGCAUGUGGGUGCAGCAAAAAAGAAAUCGCUUCAAAAACAAACACGACUGAUUGUACUGGCUUUGCAGUACACACUUAGAAAAUCAUCUUGUUUUCACAUCCCCGGUCCUCGUAAAUGAGAGAGUGCAGAGUGCUUUGUUGUUGUGAAACCGCCCCCCCCAUGAAGAAAUAAUACUCUGCUCCCAACAUCGAGGUUGCAAAUAACAUCUCUCAGAUCAAACAACAAGUUGUGGACAAAUUAGAAUUUGGCAAGGGGCAUUCCUUGAAGGACUCGCUGCCCGAAAAAUUGGAAGAGGCGAUAAUAAACAGUCAAAAAAGAGGUAAAUACUGCUAAAGUAAACAUUGUGUGGAGAAAAAAAGCAGAGCAACAGCUGUACGUUUUAAACCCCAUCCCUAAGCCAGUUUGACUCUCCAGACUCACCGCCUCCCUUAAUGCAUAGACUUGCUGUGAAAAUCUGACAAGAAUGACUUGGGCAUCAAGAGGGUUAUGUAAGAUGUUUGUGUCGGCUGAAACCAUUCACCCAUUGUCACUCAGAAGGAGGUCAGAGCAGAGCUGACAUCAUUCACGUGGAGGAUGGAAGAAACAACAGUCACUGUGUGCAGUGAAUGCAUUUUAACACUUUUCCUGCCACACUAGUCGCUCCCAGCAAUCGGUAACCUUCCCAAGUUAUUGUGCACUUCAUAAAUUGUUUAAAUUGAGGAAAUAUUUCCGAAUAUAAAACCAUGUAAUCUGCCACCUUUCAGCUCUAAUCAAGUGCUUAUUAAUAUCAAGACAUUUAAAGCUGCUUUACUGGAGAACUGGAAAACCUCAGAAUUGAUAGUCGACUGGGGAUGAUACGAUUAAGCUCCCUCUUGUCUAAUCUUUCUGCAAUUGAGUUAAAAAUUAACUCAGUGUGUGUGUGUGUGUGUGUGUGGGUGGGGGCGGUGGGGUUGAAUCUCUCCUGGAGAAUAAUUUUCCCCCAGAUCAUAAAACAGAAGUGGCAGCUUUUCUUUAUUAACAGUGAUGGACAGAAAGAGGUUACAUAUUUCACAACAAUAACAUCG
Long non-coding RNA from Callorhinchus milii (elephant shark), 1685 nucleotides. RefSeq lists it as uncharacterized. The record is from RefSeq and is a predicted model, not a curated record. The transcript is spliced from 5 exons. NCBI's taxonomy places the organism in Eukaryota, Metazoa, Chordata, Chondrichthyes, Chimaeriformes, Callorhinchidae.